UUUGAUGUCGUAAUUUGUUUUGGAAGAAAAUUUAAUCUCAACAUAGAAUUUUUUACCGACAGAUUUAUGGUCUUUUAAUAUCUACAGGUUGUGGAAACUAAGAUCAUUGUAACUCAAAUGAGAGCUUGGCACUUAGCAUAUAGACGCCACUAGAACCAAUCUGGAAUUACUGUGAGGUAAUUUUAUAUCUUGUUCAAGUUGGAGAAUUAAUAGCUAGCAUAUGCUUUCUUAAUGAUAUUUUCUUUUUCCAUGCAUCUUCAUAUUACCAAACCCUUCUCUUGUAGGAGAAACAGAUAUAGAGUGAUAAA
RNAcentral lists this long non-coding RNA (308 nucleotides) under Zea mays. RNAcentral describes it as "long non-coding RNA (ZMAY_LNC003686)". Lineage: Eukaryota; Viridiplantae; Streptophyta; Magnoliopsida; Poales; Poaceae. The record is from RNAcentral.